AAGGAAGGUUGAGAGGGCAAUUAACUUGCUAAUCCAGUCAGGUCUGAAAGGAAGCAGCUGUACCAAGCUUAAUUGGGUCUCUUAAACCUUCCAAUUU
Molecule: signal recognition particle RNA, 97 nt
Filed under: Alphaproteobacteria bacterium
Lineage: Bacteria; Pseudomonadati; Pseudomonadota; Alphaproteobacteria
Also listed under: 1 other name
Description: signal recognition particle sRNA small type
Rfam family: Bacterial small signal recognition particle RNA
About the family: The signal recognition particle (SRP) is a universally conserved ribonucleoprotein involved in the co-translational targeting of proteins to membranes. Archaeal SRP consists of a 7S RNA and homologues of the eukaryotic SRP19 and SRP54 proteins.
Source: RNAcentral